ACGGAAGGCAGCAGUGGGGAAUAUUGCACAAUGGGGGAAACCCUGAUGCAGCGACGCCGCGUGAGUGAAGAAGUAUUUCGGUAUGUAAAGCUCUAUCAGCAAGGAAGAAAAUGACGGUACUUGACUAAGAAGCUCCGGCUAAAUACGUGCCAGCAGCCGCGGUAAUACGUAUGGAGCAAGCGUUAUCCGGAUUUACUGGGUGUAAAGGGAGCGUAGACGGCAAAGCAAGUCUGAGGUGAAAUCCCGGGGCUCAACCCCGGAACUGCUUUGGAAACUGUUUAGCUAGAGUGCAGGAGAGGUAAGCGGAAUUCCUAGUGUAGCGGUGAAAUGCGUAGAUAUUAGGAGGAACACCAGUGGCGAAGGCGGCUUACUGGACUGUAACUGACGUUGAGGCUCGAAAGCGUGGGGAGCAAGCAGGAUUAGAUACCCUGGUA
This 434-nucleotide ribosomal RNA is filed under the name uncultured Lachnospiraceae bacterium. RNAcentral's name for it is "partial 16S ribosomal RNA". It matches the Rfam family "Bacterial small subunit ribosomal RNA", at positions 341 to 792 of the family's 1533-position model. Lineage: Bacteria; Bacillati; Bacillota; Clostridia; Lachnospirales; Lachnospiraceae. The record is from RNAcentral.